UGGUGAGUAUAGCUAUGGGGGUACACCUAGUUACAUUCCGAACCUAGAAGUUAAGCCCAUAUACGCUAAUGGUACUUGGCUGGAAGCGGCCUGGGAGAGUAUGGAUUUGCCAAGCU
Molecule: ribosomal RNA, 116 nt
Filed under: Fusobacterium polymorphum F0401
Lineage: Bacteria; Fusobacteriati; Fusobacteriota; Fusobacteriia; Fusobacteriales; Fusobacteriaceae
Source: RNAcentral